UUCCGGUUGAUCCUGCCGGACCUGACUGCUAUCGGAUUGAUACUAAGCCAUGCGAGUCAUUGUAGCAAUACAAGGCAGACGGCUCAGUAACGCGUAGUCAACCUAACCUAUGGACGGGAAUAACCUCGGGAAACUGAGAAUAAUGCCCGAUAGAACACUAUACCUGGAAUGGUUUGUGUUCCAAAUGAUUUAUCGCCGUAGGAUGGGACUGCGGCCUAUCAGUUUGUUGGUGAGGUAAUGGCCCACCAAGACUAUUACAGGUACGGGCUCUGAGAGGAGUAGCCCGGAGAUGGGUACUGAGACACGGACCCAGGCCCUAUGGGGCGCAGCAGGCGAGAAAACUUUGCAAUGUGCGAAAGCACGACAAGGUUAAUCCGAGUGGUUUGUGCUAAACGAACCUUUUGUCGGUCCUAGAAACACCGAUGAAUAAGGGGUGGGCAAGUUCUGGUGUCAGCCGCCGCGGUAAAACCAGCACCUCAAGUGGUCAGGAUGAUUAUUGGGCCUAAAGCAUCCGUAGCCGGCUCUGUAAGUUUUCGGUUAAAUCUGUACGCUCAACGUACAGGCUGCCGGGAAUACUGCAGAGCUAGGGAGUGGGAGAGGUAGACGGUACUCGGUAGGAAGGGGUAGAAUCCUUUGAUCUAUUGAUGACUACCUGUGGCGAAGGCGGUCUACCAGAACACGUCCGACGGUGAGGGAUGAAAGCUGGGGGAGCAAACCGGGAUUAGAUACCCGGGUAGUCCCAGCUGUAAACUAUGCAAACUCAGUG
RNAcentral lists this ribosomal RNA (766 nucleotides) under uncultured archaeon. RNAcentral describes it as "bacterial SSU rRNA". It matches the Rfam family "Archaeal small subunit ribosomal RNA", at positions 1 to 773 of the family's 1478-position model. The record is from RNAcentral.